This 254-nucleotide ribosomal RNA is filed under the name uncultured bacterium. RNAcentral's name for it is "partial 16S ribosomal RNA". It matches the Rfam family "Bacterial small subunit ribosomal RNA", at positions 524 to 776 of the family's 1533-position model. The record is from RNAcentral.
GACGAACCGUGCGAACGUUAUUCGGAAUCACUGGGCUUAAAGCGCGUGUAGGCGGGAUGGCACGUCGGUCGCUGAAAGCCCCCGGCUCAACCGGGGAAGUGGCGCCGAUACGACCACCCUGGAGGGACGUAGGGGGACCUGGAACUUCCGGUGGAGCGGUGAAAUGCGUUGAGAUCGGAAGGAACGCCCGUGGCGAAAGCGGCAUCCUGGACCGACAUUGACGCUGAUGAGCGAAAGCUAGGGGAGCAAACGGG